AUUGAACGCUGGCGGCAUGCCUUACACAUGCAAGUCGAACGGUAACGGGCCUUCGGGUGCCGACGAGUGGCGAACGGGUGAGUAAUACAUCGGAACGUGCCCGAUCGUGGGGGAUAACGAGGCGAAAGCUUUGCUAAUACCGCAUACGAUCUACGGAUGAAAGCCGGGGACCGCAAGGCCUUGCGCGGACGGAGCGGCCGAUGGCAGAUUAGGUAGUUGGUGGGUUAAAAGCUUACCAAGCCGACGAUCUGUAGCUGGUCUGAGAGGAUGAUCAGCCACACUGGGACUGAGACACGGCCCAGACUCCUACGGGAGGCAGCAGUGGGGAAUCUUGGACAAUGGGCGCAAGCCUGAUCCAGCCAUGCCGCGUGAAGGAUGAAGGCCUUCGGGUUGUAAACUGCUUUUGUACGGAACGAAAAGACUUCUUUUAAUACAGGAGGGUCAUGACGGUACCGUAAGAAUAAGCACCGGCUAACUACGUG
This 482-nucleotide ribosomal RNA is filed under the name uncultured bacterium. RNAcentral's name for it is "partial 16S ribosomal RNA". It matches the Rfam family "Bacterial small subunit ribosomal RNA", at positions 30 to 507 of the family's 1533-position model. The record is from RNAcentral.